Molecule: transfer RNA, 88 nt
Filed under: Shigella sp.
Lineage: Bacteria; Pseudomonadati; Pseudomonadota; Gammaproteobacteria; Enterobacterales; Enterobacteriaceae
Description: tRNA-Ser
Rfam family: tRNA (bases 4-81)
About the family: Transfer RNA (tRNA) molecules are approximately 80 nucleotides in length. Their secondary structure includes four short double-helical elements and three loops (D, anti-codon, and T loops).
Source: RNAcentral
GGUGAGGUGUCCGAGUGGCUGAAGGAGCACGCCUGGAAAGUGUGUAUACGGCAACGUAUCGGGGGUUCGAAUCCCUGUCUCUUAUACA